Molecule: ribosomal RNA, 497 nt
Filed under: uncultured bacterium
Lineage: Bacteria
Description: partial 16S ribosomal RNA
Rfam family: Bacterial small subunit ribosomal RNA
Source: RNAcentral
GAUGAACGCUGGCGGCGUGCCUAAUACAUGCAAGUCGAGCGAACGGACGAGAAGCUUGCUUCUCUGAUGUUAGCGGCGGACGGGUGAGUAACACGUGGAUAACCUACCUAUAAGACUGGGAUAACUUCGGGAAACCGGAGCUAAUACCGGAUGAUAUUUUGAACCGCAUGGUUCAAAAGUGAAAGACGGUCUUGCUGUCACUUAUAGAUGGAUCCGCGCUGCAUUAGCUAGUUGGUAAGGUAAAGGCUUACCAAGGCAACGAUGCAUAGCCGACCUGAGAGGGUGAUCGGCCACACUGGAACUGGAACACGGUCCAGACUCCUACGGGAGGCAGCAGUAGGGAAUCUUCCGCAAUGGGCGAAAGCCUGACGGAGCAACGCCGCGUGAGUGAUGAAGGUCUUCGGAUCGUAAAACUCUGUUAUUAGGGAAAAACAUAUGUGUAAGUAACUGUGCACAUCUUGACGGUACCUAAUCAGAAAGCCACGGCUAACUACGUG